Molecule: ribosomal RNA, 990 nt
Filed under: uncultured archaeon
Lineage: Archaea
Description: bacterial SSU rRNA
Rfam family: Archaeal small subunit ribosomal RNA
Source: RNAcentral
AUUCCGGGCCCUACGGGGCGCAGCAGGCGCGAAACCUUUACACUGCACGCCAGUGCGAUAAGGGGACCCCGAGUGCACAGGCAUAGAGCCUGUGCUUUUCUGAACCGUAGGGAGGUUCAGGAACAAGAGCUGGGCAAGACCGGUGCCAGCCGCCGCGGUAAUACCGGCAGCUCGAGUGAUGGCCGAUCUUAUUGGGCCUAAAGCGUCCGUAGCUGGCCUUGCAAGUCCGUCGGGAAAUCCACCCGCUCAACGGGUGGGCGUCCGGCGGAAACUGUGAGGCUUGGGACCGGGAGGCUUGAAGGGUACGUCCGGGGUAGGAGUGAAAUCCCGUAAUCCUGGACGGACCGCCGAUGGGGAAACCACUUCAAGAGAACGGAUCCGACAGUGAGGGACGAAAGCUAGGGUCUCGAACCGGAUUAGAUACCCGGGUAGUCCUAGCUGUAAACGAUGCCUGUUAGGUGUGACUCCCACUACGAGUGGGUGUUGUGCCGUAGGGAAGCCGCUAAACAGGCCGCCUGGGAAGUACGUCUGCAAGGAUGAAACUUAAAGGAAUUGGCGGGGGAGCACUACAACCGGAGGAGCCUGCGGUUUAAUUGGACUCAACGCCGGACAUCUCACCAGCAUCGACUGUGGUAAUGACGGUCAGGUUGAUGACCUUACCCGAGCCACAGAGAGGAGGUGCAUGGCCGCCGUCAGCUCGUACCGUGAGGCGUCCUGUUAAGUCAGGCAACGAGCGAGACCCGCAUCCUUACUUGCCAGCAGCACCGCGAGGUGGCUGGGGACAGUAGGGAGACCGCCGUGGCUAACACGGAGGAAGGAACGGGCAACGGUAGGUCAGUAUGCCCCGAAUAUGCUGGGCAACACGCGGGCUACAAUGGUCGAGACAAUGGGUUCCAACGCCGAGAGGCGACGGUAAUCUCAGAAACUCGAUCGUAGUUCGGAUUGUGGACUGAAACUCGUCCACAUGAAGCUGGAUUCGGUAGUAAUCGC